AAUGAAGUGCCUGAUAAAAAGGAUUAUUUUGAUAGAAUAAAUCAUGUAACUCGUUACCUUCAUUA
This 65-nucleotide transfer RNA is filed under the name Tropisternus sp. BYU-CO166. RNAcentral's name for it is "tRNA-Ile". Lineage: Eukaryota; Metazoa; Arthropoda; Insecta; Coleoptera; Hydrophilidae. The record is from RNAcentral.